Molecule: ribosomal RNA, 118 nt
Filed under: Lepisosteus oculatus (spotted gar)
Lineage: Eukaryota; Metazoa; Chordata; Actinopteri; Semionotiformes; Lepisosteidae
Source: RNAcentral
GCCAGCAGUCAUAUCACCCUAUAACUCAAAACUGCCAUCCCACUGAAACUCACCAGGUGUGAGCCCAGUCAGUACCUGGAUGGAGGACCUCGUGGAAAAACUAAGGUUGCUGCUGGAA